GUGUGGCAUGUGAUGAAUUUAAUGUGAAAUGGGUAAUUUGCGACUGAUUUGUUGUGAUGCUAAACUCACCUUGGAGAACUGAUGCCCCUU
Molecule: small nucleolar RNA, 90 nt
Organism: Salvia hispanica
Lineage: Eukaryota; Viridiplantae; Streptophyta; Magnoliopsida; Lamiales; Lamiaceae
Source: RefSeq, a predicted model, not a curated record